Microcebus murinus (gray mouse lemur) is the source of this 6657-nucleotide non-coding RNA. NCBI's taxonomy places the organism in Eukaryota, Metazoa, Chordata, Mammalia, Primates, Cheirogaleidae. The record is from RefSeq and is a predicted model, not a curated record.
CUUAUUCUACAAGUAAUAAAUGAUUACAAUUAUUUUUAAAAACUCCAUCAUCACAGAAAAACAUAAUAUAAGAAAGGCCCCCCACUCAUUUUCCCUGACCCAGAGAUUAUCACUGUAUAAGGUUGAUAUUUUUCCAGUAUAUACUAACAUAUAUCUUAUUGAUAGUAUGUAUGCAUAUUUUUAAUGACUAAUUCUUUACUUCAAAGAGCUCUUGAAAGGGAUACUAAGUUUGCAACUUCAUGGCGUGUGGCAAAGGGAAGAAUAUUUGGGGAUAAGUCAGUCAUAUUUUGAAUCUCUCUGUAACACAUGACAUUGAAUUUCAGUCCUAUUUAAAGAAGAGCUUCCCUGGUAAAAAAAACGUUUUUGUAUAUGGAUCUCAGGUUGGAGGAGGACAGAAGAAACUACCUAUAAGAUGUGGGCUGGGCAAUAGAUUUUAAUCGUGGUUCCUAUUAAUUACUCAGCAAUUUCAGGCAGUCCUCCACUCUUAACACUGUAGUUUUCCCCUGUGUAAAAUAGGAAAGGGCGGUAGAAAAUCUGAACUUGGGGACUUGGUCCCUAAGCACUGCUACCAACUACUCCUGCCUUUUGGCAAAUACCCAACUCCUCUCAGCUGGGGUCAUGCAUUCUGCCAGCUCACAGGAGCCAGGAGGCUUAAUUACCUGUAUUUUCAAAGACCUCUGAACUCUCUUAGGAAGGGGGCUAUUUAAGUUCAGUGUCAUAUUAUCCAGUUCCUGAAGCAUUCAUUUUAUAGAGACAGGGAGGGAGGGUUCAGAGAUCGGGCUGUGCUCCAAAGAAAGUUUCGAAAAAGCUUUUGUCUGUAGUGUAAGUUGAGGAAAUGCUUCAUGGUUUGAGAAAAGUCACAUUAGACUUCCACACAAAUAAUACGCAUCUCAGAAAGAAAAUACUACAUUAGAUAUUAGUUUCAGGUCAUCCAAAUUCACACUGGUGUGUGUUCACCUUCUCUUUCCUUUACUAGAAGGUUCUCUGUGAUUAUCUCCCACCAACACAAACCUGUAUGAUGUGCACCGUUGCUACUGCCAUUUGGCAGGUACUGCUAUGGUACAACCUGGUCUGGACAGUCUCAAACUCCAGGGCCAGCAUCAAACUUGUGAUGAAGUUUUCACAAAAAAAUGAGGGCAACACAUUGUCAGGCUGCCAACUUUAUUUAAGAAGUAUUGUUUUUUAUUCUAAGAGUGCAUCCUUUCUACUUUGGGGGUAUUGAAAUGUUACUUUCUUUUAUGAAUUAAUGGUAAUUGGAGAUGGUAGCUGUGGAGUUUUUUUUAAACACUCUGAUUUGAUCAAAUUUAAACUUGGCAGCAGUUUAUUGAUCUUCCCACAAUUUCACAAUUUCCUUUCCCUUUCUUUUUACAUUUUACUGGUCUGCAAAAUCCAAUCUCUGGAAAACAUCAGUCUACAGCUAAUUCUGUCUAUAUGGUAUAGGGAGAAUGCAGAUAAUCACCAUUUUUAGCUCAAAGUAUUAAAUUCCUCCCCUACCAAAACUUGUGCCUCAGCUAAUGAUAAGUAGGACACUCAGUGCACUUGAGUUGUAUUUCUCCCUGCACCCUCUAAUAGGAUUCCUAAAAUUAAGCCACUGAAAGAUCAGAAAAGAAGGAAGCAGGGGAAAAAAAUAAUCUGAAUAAUAAAUGAACCAGCUGGUUAAUGGACUCAGUGUCGAUUAACAAUGAAUAAAAGUAUGUCCUAUGAAAUAUUUGGAGUAUAUGUAUGUUAAAAAAUUAUUCAUUGUUUAUUUGAAAUUCAAAUUUACCUGGGAAUUCUAUAUUUUGUCUGACAACCUUACACCCAAGACUGACCCUUUAGAAUAUACAUAGGUAGUAAAAUGUAAAUUCAAGUAGUCCCUACACAUAAAUGGCUAUUAAUAUACUCUUUUGGUUGUCUUUAUGUUGUCUAGUUUUCUUGUCUAAAUGUAAGAUAUAUAGAUUGUUGGGUUCUUAUAAAUGCAUAACCACCUUCAGUUAAAUCAAGAGAAGAGUAAAACAAGGUACCUGGUCCCCAGUGGUCUUACCUGAUAGCCAGUAUUUAUAAGCAGAUCCUGCCGGGUCACCUCUGAGCCGUCUGUUCAGGAUGACUGCAGAGUCAUCCUCUUCAACCCACACUGAAGUUUUAGGAUCUGAGAGUUUGUGGGUAGGAAGUGGGGAAGAAAGCCAAGAUUCCAAGAGGUGCCCUUAGCCAGACUUAGCACUCGGCCAACACACUUGUUCUUUGUUCCUUGUUUACCUCUCUGAUCUUACUACUAAUACAAAGUUAAAAGCUCUGCAUCUGUUCACUAUUCUCCCUGGCAAAUGUAGGGUUCCUCACCUUAGCUUGAAACAAAAGUAAUAAUAAAACUGUCAAGUAGUGCUAAUAACCUCCCCGGUGAUAUUUGCAGGCAAAUGACUUUCCAUCUACACAACUGACACCUGUUUUCUGUUAGGGAAAUGAAUUGAUAUGAGCUGGAGAUUGGCAGGCAAGUAGGAGUCUGGGUCAGGUACCUGGUGUGCAUUUCAUCAAAAUGCGUAGGAAUGUGGGUGGUUGGUUUUGUUUUCGUUUUCCCUGACCACCUCAAGGUUGUUACAGAAGUACUAUGAGGGGCGAAAAUGUGAACGGUGCUGAUAAAUUCAGAUACAUGGGAGUGGAAAUCAAAAUGUGGAAUCAGAGCCAAUUUUGGUGGUCAGUGACUCACAAAUCCCCAAAUGGGCUGCUUAGGAUCGGGAAAAGAAAGCUGGGUUAGCAAAGUCUCAUCCUGGCUCCAACGCCAUCUACCAGGGUGACUUUGUGUUGUCCUUUUCACAUCAGUUUCCCGCCUUCACAGAUGAAAGGGUUGGACAGGCUGCUACCUGGGGUUCCUUUAGCCCUGAAUCUCUAAGUAGGCAUAGCAGAGAGAAAAGGAAUUCCUGAGUUGCAUGCAAGACUUGCUCACCUACCUGCUGGGUGUUCAAAGGCUAUAGAUUUGAGGUAACAGAGACAUACUCCUUGAUCUCUUGUUCUGACCUUCAGAGACAGCAGUCGUUCUUUGUUUUUUUUGUUUUUUGUGUUUUUGGUUUUUUUGGGUUUUUUUUUUUUUUUUUUUUUUUGCCUUCUUCCACCUGCUUCCUGCCAUGCCAGAAGAAGGUUGGUUGGACCAUGUUCCUGGGCCUCCCAGGAGCCUGGUGACUCCUAUGCCUCACGGUCUCUCGGGACUCCUACACACACAGGUCAUUGUUAUCUUUCCUUUGCAAAGCUGUUCCUUAGGUUAGAUGAAAAAUAAGGGGAGUCCAACCAUUGUAAUUAUUUAUAUGGGCAUACAAAGAUGAGACGUGCCGCUUUUCCUUGGUUACUAAAUCACCCUCUGGAUUCUCAGACUUUCUUUGCCACGUGCUUUCCAAGCCUUUUCCCACUGGGUGGUUCUAGUCGGAAUCUGUAUAAAAUACUCCCUUUGGGUCAGCAGUUUAAAAUUGAACUUGGAUGGCAAAAUAUUAAAUAUACACUUCCUAUAGUAGGCAAUGUGUACCCCGAUUCUGUCCUUCGUAACUGUGUAGAACGCACAGUGGUGGGAAAGAUCAAAGAUUUCUGCAGGGGUUCUUUCCAUUGUGAGCCCUGGAGCUCAAUGAGUUCCUUCUUCUAGGCUUCCUCAUGUGAUGACUAUUCUUUUCUAGAACUAAAUCCUAUAGCAAAUUACAGGCCUUGCAUUUUAUCUUUCUUAUUCAGAAGUAUUCACUGACGUGCCCCUUUUCUUGUCGGGGUUGUGGCAAUACCAUGGAAGUUAAACUGGGUACCCGCCUUGCCUUCCAGGGGCUUUUGUGUUAUUGUCAUUCAUGGGAUGUGUUCCCCAUGUUAAUAUAUGCAGCAGGCACCCCUCCAUCCUUGUCCUUCCCCUGACCCCUGUCAUUCCUAGUCCCCCAUUCUUUGUCCUAUGAACUUUCCUUGGCCUUCCCAAGAUGGAAAAUUACUGGAUGACCCACGCCUCUGCGCGGCCCACACCUAGUACAUUGCUGGCCUUUGCCCAAAUUAUGCCACCCUGUUUGGGAUGAGCCGACACCAUUGUGAUCCACCUGAUGACAUGGUAGCAUCCCAUCUGCCUACCCAGUUCACUCUUGCUCCAUUUCAGGGCCUCUUACAGCAACCGCUCAUGUGUCUACUUGGCACUGUCUCAUGGCCUGUCAGUCUCAGCCAACAUCAGCCCAUUCAUUGAUCCAACAAGAUGAUUUGAGAACCACUACGUGCUCUGCCAGGGCGAAUAAAAAUUACAGUACUUGCCCUCAAGGAGCUUAGACUUAAUGAGGGAGGCAGACAAUCAAGAAAUAAACAAUCAGUCAUUAUAAGUGCUGAUAAAAGCUAUGAAGAAAACGGGGUGUUGUGAGAGAGAGUGGCAGGUGGCACCUAUUUUAGAUAAUGCGGGUCUGGAGAGGACACAUUUAAGCCAAGACCUCAAGAACCAGAAGAAGGCAGCGGAGAGAACAGAGGGGUAACAAUGUCUUCAGACUUCAGGCUCAGCGUGUGAGCAGACUCUAAGACGGGGAAAAGGUUGGCAUGCUUGAGCCCUGAAAAAGGCUUCUCCAAAUCCUCCCCACUUUCUGGAUCCUUCUUUCACAGAGAUGCUGACUUCACCCACUCGUACUGAUUAAUCCAUCUCCCGAGCUGCCAGAGGUCAUUCUCUCGGUUCCCCUUAUUUGACAUUUGGUUGCAGACUGUCUUUUUAUCAUUCAGCUGUGUGCACAUCUUCACAAGACUUGAGCUCUAUACUUCACCCCUCCAAGGGCAUCGGUCAAGUUUCUAUUUAUAGGGAAGGUACUGAAUUCUAUUCAGUACAAUAAACAUUAAUCAAAUGCCUAGUGUAUGCUAGGUGGUAUGUGCUGGGUAUUAAGUUCAGUGCUGAUGGCUAAAAGUAAGCAAACCCCAGUCUAACCAUGAGAAAAACAUCAGAGAACCCAUUGAGGGACAUUCUACAACACUACGCCACAAACCCAUCAAGGUCAUCAAAAACAAGGAAAGUUUAAGAAAUUGUCACAGACUAGAGGAGGCAGCAGAGACAUGACAGCAUAAACGUAAUGUGAGACCUGGAUGGCAUCCUGCAACAGGAACAGGGCAUUUAAGUAAAAAUAGGUGAAAUCCAGAUCAACUGUGAAAUUCAGUUAAUAGUAACAUACCAACCUUGAUUCCUUACUGGUAACACCCAUAAUGCAGUAAAGCAAGAUGUUAACGGCACAAUAACGUGUAUGGAAACUCUCCAUACUAUUUUUGCAACUUUUCUGUAAAUCUAAAACUAUCCUAAAAUAGUUUAUUUAAAUUAAGAAUAAAUAAAUCAUUAAGACUCAGUUCCUAGCCUCUAUAACUCACACCGCAGUAGAAGAAACACACAUCUAAAUAAAUAUUUGCAAUGCAGUAUGAUGAGGGCAAUAAUAGAAAUGUAUACCACGUACGAAGUAGCCAAAAUAAGGGCACAAUUGCCUCUGAUGUAGGGAAGGGGUCACUGAGGAGUGCCAUGCCUGGAGCUGGGCUUUAAAGGAUUAAUAGGAGUUUGAAGAAUGUGGAAGAGAAGCCUGGGAAAGGUUAAUUCCAGCCUAGGUAAGGGCGUUUAACAAGAUAUGGAAUUUUUUCAUGCCUUCUGUUAUCAAAAGAAGGGAGGAAAGAAAAGAAAAGAGAGGAGCCCAAUUUGGGUAUUCGAUAACUAAUUAUGGUAAAAUAGUAACACCAUCAUUUGUGGCUGGGAUUCCACUGCCCUCAGUAGCUGACCCACAGGGCCUCUGAGUGUCACCUACCAGGAUUCCCUCCCCUCAUUCUCUUCUCGACUCUUGGGGUCAUCCGUUUGACCACCUUGGGCUCCACAGCACACUGGGCCAUGACCCAGCCCCAGCUCCUGGAGGCGGGUGGAUAACCAGGAAAAGGCACGAAUGCAGAGACCGUAGAAAGCAGUGACUUAGAGAGUGAGGCAAGAGCCCAGUGGUCAGUCAUGGGUCACUGUCUCUGAACUGGACAGGCCAGCAUGUCUGCCCUACCCGUACCUACAAGUGAAAGAGCCAGAAGGCAAGUGCCAUUGAGAGCAAGCUGUUUUGUUCUGUCAAUUGCCAUGGCCCCCAUAACCCAAUGCCUGGCUUAAAGGCAGUUCUCAAAGAAUAUUUGAGAGCAGGCAGUUCAGAGGCAGCUGCAUCAGCGCCGCAGAGGAGGCCUUGAGGUGGAGGGGGGCCAUGGAGCUCUCUGUAGAAGCCGGUGUGGUAAGGAAGCAAACUCUAUGAGUGAAUAAGUCCACUGGUAUCAGAACAGAGAAGCAAAUGGGCAGAGAGAAGCGGUAACUCUGAGAAAGAUCCUGUUCUGCCCACGACCAAGAGAGACCAAGACAGCAGCGAAUUUUCCAGAUCCCGUCUCUAGGAGGCCCACCCUCUCCAUGGGGACGGUGACCUCUAACUACAAGGCUCAAUGUUCUAUAAAAUGGGGGUAACCGCAGUGACAGCCUCGUGGGUUCGUGGUGGGGUUGAAAUGAGACAACCCACACAAAGCACCUGGCACCAUCCCGGGCACCUAAGUGCUUCAUUGGCGUUAUUUUUGAGGUGGUUGUUUCAUUACUCUUACUAAAUUCCCAUGAGAACUCUGCUACUCACAUCGCUCCACGUGUAUCCUUGCAGUUAUCAUCGCCUAUUGGUGAGCUUUGUUCUUUGCAAACAAAAAAUAAAAUUAAAAAAAAAA